Molecule: ribosomal RNA, 430 nt
Filed under: uncultured Bacteroidota bacterium
Lineage: Bacteria; Pseudomonadati; Bacteroidota
Description: bacterial SSU rRNA
Rfam family: Bacterial small subunit ribosomal RNA
Source: RNAcentral
AACGCGAAGAACCUUACCUGGGCUAGAAUGCAGAUAGAUCGCCGGUGAAAGCUGGUUUUGUAGCAAUACACUGUCUGUAAGGUGCUGCAUGGCUGUCGUCAGCUCGUGCCGUGAGGUGUUGGGUUAAGUCCCGCAACGAGCGCAACCCCCAUCACUAGUUGCCAUCAGGUAAAGCUGGGAACUCUAGUGAAACUGCCGUCGUAAGACGCGAGGAAGGAGGGGAUGAUGUCAAGUCAUCAUGGCCUUUAUGCCCAGGGCUACACACGUGCUACAAUGGGGAGGACAAAGGGCAGCGACACAGUGAUGUGAAGCUAAUCCCAAAAACCUCUUCUCAGUUCAGAUUGCAGUCUGCAACUCGACUGCAUGAAGCUGGAAUCGCUAGUAAUCGUAUAUCAGCAAUGAUACGGUGAAUACGUUCCCGGGCCUUGUA